ACCUCCUGAAAUUGAAAUGGUUCACAGAUCAAAAUCUGGUCAGAUCUGACUUUGUCGAAUUAAACCAGGAGCUUGGAAACGAAUUUUUGAAUGAAACAAAUUGGGGGAUAUUUGGUUUAUACCAUGGUGAUAACCGAGAGAGGCAAUUGCUAAGUCGUGGCACUCGCAUACCUUUACUAGAUGCGAACAAUUCCGGAGAAGAAGAAGAAGUGGAAUCAGACAAGGAUAUUAUUUAUAUUGUUGGGAUUCUUAUUUUGAUGGAGUUGUAGAAGUCCAGGGACAAAUAA
Molecule: long non-coding RNA, 287 nt
Organism: Lolium perenne
Lineage: Eukaryota; Viridiplantae; Streptophyta; Magnoliopsida; Poales; Poaceae
Source: RefSeq, a predicted model, not a curated record